GGCCCCGUCGUCUAGCGGCCCAGGACGCUGGCCUCUCAAGCCAGUAACGCCGGUUCGAAUCCGGUCGGGGCUACCG
RNAcentral lists this transfer RNA (76 nucleotides) under Actinomycetota bacterium. RNAcentral's name for it is "Actinobacteria bacterium (hydrothermal vent metagenome) tRNA-Glu". It matches the Rfam family "tRNA". From Rfam's summary of the family: Transfer RNA (tRNA) molecules are approximately 80 nucleotides in length. Lineage: Bacteria; Bacillati; Actinomycetota. The record is from RNAcentral.